RNAcentral lists this ribosomal RNA (585 nucleotides) under uncultured bacterium. RNAcentral's name for it is "bacterial SSU rRNA". It matches the Rfam family "Bacterial small subunit ribosomal RNA", at positions 9 to 588 of the family's 1533-position model. The record is from RNAcentral.
GAGUUUGAUUCUGGCUCAGAUUGAACGCUGGCGGCAUGCCUUACACAUGCAAGUCGAACGGCAGCACGGGAGCAAUCCUGGUGGCGAGUGGCGAACGGGUGAGUAAUAUAUCGGAACGUGCCCAGUAGUGGGGGAUAACUGCUCGAAAGAGCAGCUAAUACCGCAUACGACCUGAGGGUGAAAGGGGGGGAUCGCAAGACCUCUCGCUAUUGGAGCGGCCGAUAUCAGAUUAGCUAGUUGGUGGGGUAAAGGCCUACCAAGGCAACGAUCUGUAGUUGGUCUGAGAGGACGACCAGCCACACUGGGACUGAGACACGGCCCAGACUCCUACGGGAGGCAGCAGUGGGGAAUUUUGGACAAUGGGCGCAAGCCUGAUCCAGCAAUGCCGCGUGCAGGAAGAAGGCCUUCGGGUUGUAAACUGCUUUUGUCAGGGAAGAAAUCCUCUAGGUUAAUACCCUUGGGGGGAUGACGGUACCUGAAGAAUAAGCACCGGCUAACUACGUGCCAGCAGCCGCGGUAAUACGUAGGGUGCAAGCGUUAAUCGGAAUUACUGGGCGUAAAGCGUGCGCAGGCGGCUUUGCAAGA